RNAcentral lists this ribosomal RNA (506 nucleotides) under uncultured bacterium. RNAcentral describes it as "partial 16S ribosomal RNA". It matches the Rfam family "Bacterial small subunit ribosomal RNA", at positions 30 to 523 of the family's 1533-position model. The record is from RNAcentral.
AUUGAACGCUGGCGGCAGGCCUAACACAUGCAAGUCGAGCGGUAGCACAGGAGAGCUUGCUCUCUGGGUGACGAGCGGCGGACGGGUGAGUAAUGUCUGGGAAACUGCCUGAUGGAGGGGGAUAACUACUGGAAACGGUAGCUAAUACCGCAUAACGUCGCAAGACCAAAGAGGGGGACCUUCGGGCCUCUUGCCAUCAGAUGUGCCCAGAUGGGAUUAGCUAGUAGGUGGGGUAACGGCUCACCUAGGCGACGAUCCCUAGCUGGUCUGAGGGGAUGACCAGCCACACUGGAACUGAGACACGGUCCAGACUCCUACGGGAGGCAGCAGUGGGGAAUAUUGCACAAUGGGCGCAAGCCUGAUGCAGCCAUGCCGCGUGUAUGAAGAAGGCCUUCGGGUUGUAAAGUACUUUCAGCGGGGAGGAAGGUGCUGAGGUUAAUAACCUCAGCAAUUGACGUUACCCGCAGAAGAAGCACCGGCUAACUCCGUGCCAGCCGCCGCCGUAA